GCAGGCAUUUCGCCUUUCUUUGGUCGGAGCUCGACCGGCAUGUCAGUCGAUGGUCUGGCCCGAAAGUUCGACCGUAGAAGGAGUGUCAACUCCCGUCAAUAUAGAUGCAUCGACCCUCGUAAGAGUCCGAUGUGUUGUCGAAGGUCGAAGGAGUGUAGCUCCCGUCCAUAUAGGUAUAUCGAUCCUCGUAAGAGUCCGAUGCAUCACCGACGAUAGGGUCGUCGGUUUCAGG
Molecule: long non-coding RNA, 232 nt
Filed under: Elaeis guineensis (African oil palm)
Lineage: Eukaryota; Viridiplantae; Streptophyta; Magnoliopsida; Arecales; Arecaceae
Description: long non-coding RNA (EGUI_LNC031692)
Source: RNAcentral